UUGCUUCCCAAUGUCAUGGCUACAUUCUUCCUCACUUACUGUCCAUGUUAUUCCUGUUCCUUCUAAUCAGCCUCGUGGCUUUCAGCUAACUUCACCUUAGUUCGUUUUACUCCCAGCCGCUUGUCUUCCUUGGUUUUUGCAGUCGUUCACCUCUGUCGUUAGCUGUUGCAGGGCUCUGUGUGGCCGCCUUUACUCUAAUCAGCCUCUGGGGCACAACUCCGAGAAGCAGGCAUUCAUGCCACCUGACGACUGAAACUGACUGAGCCCGCGGAAGAGGCUGGGCUGCCAAUCGGAUGCACUAAGACACCAUGUGCAGGACAAGCUCAUGGAAAGGCAGCGAUAGCAGGUGUUUACUUAGCCACAGGGAAAUUUCUCACCGUGUCCAGAUGUACUUGAACAAUUGGAAUCUGGGAUGUAAAGUUGAAAAACUACCAAAUUAAGAGUUUUCUGACUUUUAAAUGUUAUGACAUUAGAUUCUGCCAAGAUUGCCUGAAUAAUGUGUGCUCUUUCGCUGUGCCAUUCUGAACUUACAAAACUUUUUAUCUUUGGACAUCUCUGGUCUUAUCUUUGAUAAGAAGAAAUCUGGCAUCAGUUGUAAUAGUUUUUAAAUAUUUACAGUGUUCAAUAGCAAGGUUCCCCAAGAUGUAUCGAAAUUGGACUUGACUAAAAGUUUAUAUUUACAAAUAAGGAAUGUGUGUGUGUGGCAAUGCAUGGGCUGAU
Long non-coding RNA from Leopardus geoffroyi (Geoffroy's cat), 720 nucleotides. RefSeq lists it as uncharacterized. The record is from RefSeq and is a predicted model, not a curated record. Lineage: Eukaryota; Metazoa; Chordata; Mammalia; Carnivora; Felidae. The transcript has 3 exons.